Molecule: long non-coding RNA, 9835 nt
Filed under: Coffea arabica (coffee)
Lineage: Eukaryota; Viridiplantae; Streptophyta; Magnoliopsida; Gentianales; Rubiaceae
Description: long non-coding RNA (CARA_LNC001406)
Source: RNAcentral
UUUUUUUUUUUUUUUUUUUUUUUUGUGAAAAGGACAAUCGACCAAAAGGCCUAUGGAAAAAAGCUUUAGGUUUGGGCCAAUAUUGUAUUCCAUCUACUCUUCAUGAUGGCCAUCGUGCUUGACUCAUCAGGCAUUGCUUUUGAUUUCAAAACAGCCCAAGUUCAAACUAAGUCGGUCAGAUUGGGCUUAGUGCCAUAUCCAGCACCACACCCCUUUGAAAACUUAUUAACAUGGUUUCAACACUUUUGUACUUUUUUUCUUUUGGAAAUGUUAUUUACACUCCCAUUUUUGUUAUUCACACUCCCUCAAUCAUUUUAAUGAUAUAGUUUUCAUUCAUUAUACUAUAUGAUAAAACAAAUGGUGGAAGUACAAAUAAUAAAAAAUAGUAUAUUGGGAUAUUUCCCUUUUGGAUAUUUGGAUAUUUUCCUUUUAUUUUUUAGAAAAAUAUGGCUUCAACACAUUAAUAAUUAGGGAUGGCAACGGGGGCGGGCACCCGCCCCGUGGGGGGUCAUUGGGGCGGGGGCGGGGGAGUACCCACCCCCUGCCCCGCCACCCGUUUGAAAAAAUAUAUAUGUACAUAAUUAUAUAUAUAAUGAUAUUAUCAAUUAUACUACUAAUUAUACAUGUCUAUUAAUAAAAAUUAUUAAUUAUUUAUACUAAAUUUAUUAAUACAUUUAUGUUAAAUUCCUAACUACACUUAAUACAAUAAUACUUUUUUCUAAAAAAACACAAUAUUAAUUUAGUGAUUGUAUUUGUAUCAAAAGUGAAAACUUGAUUAUUUUAGUUAUAUUUAUUUUAUCAUAUUAGAUUGUAUUCAAAUAACCUUUGUUUAAUUAUUUUUAUGAGUUUCAAUUGUAAAGUUACAAUGAAUAAUAAUUUAGUAAUAUGUUGAUAUUUUAGUAUUUGAUUAUUUGCUCAAAUUUAAUUAUAUUAAAAUUUUUUAACCCCACGGGUGCCCUCGCAGAGGAAGCGGAGCAGGGGAAGCCGGGGGCUGGGGCGGGGGGAAUUAAAAUGCAAUGGGGUGGGGGUUGGGGAGGUGUCCCCCGCCCCAUUGCCACCCCUAUUAAUAAUGGAUGAAUGGAUGCAGGCCGCUUCUCUUAGGGGUUUCUAAUUUUUCAAGGGAUGAAUACAAAAAUUUACUUAAUUUUCACUUCAAAUCGAAUUUGUAAUUUAUUUGUAGAAUCGAAGUAUUAGACUACUAAUAAACUUUGUAUGAUAUAACAUCAAUCUGUUGAAUUAUGGCUUAAAAAAAGUAGUUUAUGGACUUAUUCUUUCGUUAUUCCCUCCUUAAAGGUCCAUGAACUAUACUAUAUAUGAAGCCACAUUUUAGCAGAUUCGUAAUGAAAUAAUACUGAGUGUACAUUUGAAAUUUAUUUCCCUUUUAGUUCCUAUUAAAAUUGUCAAUGCUAAAUAACAAAAUAUAUAAAACUGAAUAAUGUCAUUUGGAUCCCAUUAUUAUUCUUGACAAACAAAUCUUCAUGUCAAUCCAAUCUUCUUGACAAACACAUCUUUUCAAAUCAAAUUCAUGUCAAACCAAACACAUCUGAUGUUGAAAAUUCAUGAUAUUCCUAAUUUUUCAAGGUAUUUGUCUGUUUUCAUUAGAGAAGCCUGCAAUUAAUUUUUCCACAUCCUUGUGACAAUUCAACUGUCUCAUGAUUAGGCUUCAGACCUUACUCAUAGUGAAAGGCUACCUAUCUUUGCUAAAGGGACCUAAGUGAGCAAACAAAUCCUUCAAACUUUUCUAAAGAAUCCUCUCCUUUUUUUUUUUUUUGCCAAAUAGAUCAAUUGUGGUCUAUUUGAUCAUAAUUCUUUGCUUUUCAUAUCCAUAAAAAAUUAUUUAAAUCUGACAACAUUUCUUUUUUUAAAAAAAAAAAUUUACUAACAACUAUGACAUAAAUUGAUGUAAUACUUGUCACAGAUUUCAAUUUUCUUAGAAAAAGAAAAAGAAAAUCAUUUUCCAUCACUUUCCCUUGGAGAGGCAUAACUACAACCACCAACCCUCAACCCCAAAAAAAAAAAACAAAAGAAGGGUUCUUUAAUACUAUUCUGAUUUCUGAUCUAUUGAAGUAUAAUUUGUUACCCAAGGCUGCUUGUCCAUAUACAAGCAGUGGAAAUGUGGAAAUUAAUGAAAGUAACUUUUUCAAGCUUACGCAUAAAAUCUGUCAUCCCUUUAGGCCACCUUCUGGUCCCUCUGUGCUCUUGGUUGAUGGAACAAUUAAACAACUGCUGUGGACAAAGGGCUUAAACCUCUUAUUCUCAUUAUGUACGUACCAAAGACUAAUCAUCAUUAGAUAAUGAAUCAAUGAUAAUGAAUUGUACCGAGGAAGUAGAUCAACACUUAAACAAGACUCAAUAAAAAAUCAAUCUGAAAGUGGCCUUAAAGGUUAUACAUAUAUAAUUUCUUCCUCUUUUUCUUUUUUUUUUUUCUUUUCAAAACAGAUGCAAUGAUUUAUUGCCAAUAUAAAUUUGGUCACAAGUUAUCCAGUAUGAAGCAAGUAUAGGAAUUAAUUUGCCCAUUUCCACAAUGUAAAUUAGACAGUAGUAUAGUCCCGAGAUUUAGUGUACAGGAAAUUUGAUCAAGAAAGACAAAUUUUGGUUAACCUUCAAAUGGUAACUUAAUUAGAAUGCUAGAAUUACUGAUAUAUACGUGCUUAUUCUUGAAAUACUUGUACACCAGAUGGAAAUUAAGUUUAUUUAGUGCACAAAAUUAUAGUACUAAUUAUAAGUUCUUUAGUUAUACUAAUCAUAAUUUGUGCUUUGGUGCUAAAUUUUUCAUGCGAAGUAAUCAUGGCUUGAAUGCUAGCAGAUGAGACCUGAUGAUAGAUAGAUAGAUAAGCCGUCAACGUAGGGUUGUUGCAUGUUUAUAUACUCUACGUACAAUGCAAGAAGUUCCAUUUCUUGAAGAAAUAUUGGAAUGUCCCUUUUGCAUAUAAUUAUGCAUGUCUUCCUCUUCCUUCCUUGGCAGAUUUUGGAAAUGCUUUGCUGGCCCCAACACACCAAACAAUGACCUAUCCGUUCCAUGCAAGGCACUUUGACUUGGCCAACGCGUUAGAGAUUAUUAUUAUUACUACUAUUUUCAUCGCCUACAAAAAUCUUUAACUGCAUGCUUCUUGCCUUUGCUUUGCUUUGCUUUGCUUUGUUUUUUGAGGAGAGAAUGAUAAUAAUCAUAUUUUUGUGUGCAAAAAGACGGUUGGAUUUAUGGAGAAUGCGGUUUCUCUUCACAGAUUUGUUCAGCCAUUUAGCUUGAUCAAUUCUUUAUAUGAUUUGACUAUCUAUCUACUCAGUUACCUUACAACUAGUAAUGGUAAUUCUGAGUUCAGCAAUGACAUUAGUGAUUCAACUUAUUAUAUCCAAAACUGACCAAACAUAAUAAAAUUGUACAUGCAACUGAAAUAUUUCCUUUUUUAGUCCUUUUAGUGUCUGGAUAAUGCUGCCUCGGUGUGGGAGCCUUAUUUAGAAACCUCAUAUUUUGGUGCAGAGAAUAGAUAUGUUGGCAGCAGGGUACCCUUUGGGAUUUUCUAUCCCACAUCGGUAUUGGGAGGGGGAAGGGUUUGGGUAGAUAAGUCUCUCAUAGGAAUUCAAAAGUUGCCGGCUUUUGAAGUUACUGUGGGGAUUAAAUUUAUUUAAGGUAAAUUCUUACUUCUAUAAGAAAAAUGUCAGAAAGAGUAGAUAUGUUGGCCUUAAUUAAAGAGUAGUAUAGUACUACAGAGAGAUUGAAUACCCUUUAAGAUUUUAGGGAUAUAGUUUCACAAACCUCCCCAGAGGUUGGUCUUAAUAUCACUUAAUAUUCUCGUGGUCUCAAAAAUGCCUUUUACCUCCCCUCCAUUGACAUGAUUCGUAACAUAUAUAAUUUGUCACUACUCCUCAUGCUUUAAAAAAUUCAUAGACAAUGAGAGAUAAUAGUUUACUUCCAUUUGUACCCUCCCUGCUAUCCUUUAUAUAAAUAUUAGAGGAGCAAUUAAGACUAAAACCUACCUAAUAGGCAAAAGACAAAUUGGAAGAGAUGUAAGUGCAAUAAAGAGAAGUCGCAAUUAUAAAUGGUACUUUUGCUAAUUGUUGUCUUAAAUUUUUGUACACUUCAAAUUCUUUUUUUUUUUUUUUUGUGCAAACUUUAGUUAAUCAAUUAAAGAUUUCUAGAAGGAUAAUAUCAUCAAUUGACUACCUAGCUAUGACAGAGAAAUCUUUGUCUUGUCAAUCUGACAAGGGAAGCAAGAGAGCUUUUUGAAACUAUAAGAAUACUAAUUGAUAUUAAGAUAAACCUCAGGUGAGAUUUGUGAAUUAUCCCAAGAUUUUAUUGAGGACCAUUGGAGGGCGUCUUCCAAGGGUGGUCAAGAGAGAAAAUAGCCAAGCAGGGCAAUAACCACCAUCAAAAUUUUGUAAUUUCUUAUACUAUAGAAAAUCAAUAAUAGGCGAAAUGAAGGGUGGGAUUAUAUAAUCUUGAACUUCUCUUUCAAAAUGAAAGUUUUCAUUUGGCUUUUUAGAACUUUUUAUGUCAGGGAAGCAGGUUUCUGCUACUCCAAAUCCCAAAGUGCUUUCACUGAGGCAUCAUCUUUGAAUUUUCUCUUUCCAUCAAUUUUUUUGGGGGCGGGUCUCUUGGCAGUAUAAAGGAAGUUUCUUGUCCAUUAGUCCAAUAUUUUCAGCUAAUUGAGCCGUGUCUCAAAAUCAAAUAAUCAUCAACUUUGGCCUGUUCUUCCUCGUAAAUAAAAUAGAAGUAUUUUCCAUUUGGUAUAAUUAAGAACUACACCAGUCCCAUUUUCGUUAAUGCCAUUCUUGGCCGGCCUUGAAUUCUUUAGGUGUAAUUACACUGGGGAGGUGCUUGAUUUGUGGCUUUCACGAUAAGUUAACUUAUGAGUUUUAAUUUCAAUCGUACCCACAUACUAUAAUAUUUGUUUUAAGGUCAAUUGGAAUCAGUUAAUGAAUUUCAUAGAUUCCUUCUCGGGGGUUUCAUGAUUAACUAUUAAAAAGUGGAGUUUCACUUAUCUUAUUACUAGUAUUUUUUUGUUUUUUAGAUUAAUCUUGAAUACAUUAAUAGUGUAUAUGCUAAUACCCUUUGAUUGAUAAUAAUGCCACAUCUGCAAAAAACGAAGUUCGAAUUCAAACAAAAAAAAAAAUUAAGCGGCUUGCAUCUGAGGAGGGUGCUAAUGCAUACAUUUUCAUUAUAUACAAGAUUAAUCUUUAUUUUCUUUUGAUUGCUAAAAUCUAUUGCUGUAAAGUUAUCAAAUACUCAGUGGUGUUCUUAUCAAACCUGGUGUUUUUCCCCAAUUUACCAUAGUAACCGUACCUAAAGUAUAGUCAUAGUGAUUGUGGAAUUCGAACCAAAUAUAUACUAUUGAAACUAAAUCCCAUUUCUUGUCUCAAAACCCAUCUACCAAACGCACCCUAAGUGCUACAGCUAAAUUUACUACUGGAAGCUAAGUUUUAUGACAGAUCAUAAUCAGCAGUUGUAUCAUACCAGUUGAUCUCUCUCUAUUUCUGCCCUUUAUUUUUUUGGGGGUCAAAUGUAGAUAAUAGAUUAUCCUAAUGUUAACCUACUAGGCACUAGCUUUAGAUUAUGUACUUCUAGAACAGAUCAGAGAUGUAUUAGACUUUUCCAGUACUAGACUUCUCCAGCUCUGUUCUACCCCCAAAAAAGGGGGGAAUUUACAGCUCUGAACUCUGAUAAUGUCGGUCAAAGAAGCUCAAAAUUUUUAGCAAGAAUUGUCUGCAUAUGCAGGGACCCCAUCAAAUAAUAUCCCCAUCAAUGGCCCUAAUCUUCAUCCCUUAACUUUGGGUUGAAGGAGGCAAGUUUCGUGCUUUAACAUUCAUUCACACUUCACAAUUCACGUCAAAGAUUCCUCCAUAGUUUACUUUAGUCCCCUUCAAGUUCCCCUGAGUUACCUCUUCGCCCCAUCUUCUCAGUCUUCAGCUUCAAGGCUUGGACUUCUUUACUUAUAAAUAAACUCCCACUUUUGUCUUUCCAUUUGUCCCAGUGUCCCCAACCCCAACUAUCUUCUCACAUCUGUCUCUCUUUCUUUCUGUGCUUCACCUUUUUCCAGCUUUGAUUACUCCCUUUUGGUCUUUUCCAAUUAAUACACACACACAGAUACAUAAACCAUAAACAACUUUUGUUUCUGCAGCAAUAUCAGCAUGGCUCCUAAGUUGGUAUUCUUGAUGCUUAUGGUCUUCUUGACUAUAAGCUUCAAUCAGGUGUUAGCUUCAGAUCCAGACAUGCUUCAAGAUGUUUGUGUUGCUGAUCUCACAGGUACCCCAAACUGACUUCUUCUACCUUCUUUUAGAUUAUGGACUGUAACAUUAAUAACGUUCAUUGCUUAGUUUUUCAAGUUCCUUGAACCUUAGUUGGUAAUUGGCUUCAAUUCUUGAUCCAAUACAAGCAUUUAGAUGUGUUGGUAGUUGUUAGUUCCUUUUCACUUGUCCUUUUCUUGCACAUUUUGACAUUGACUGCUCGUUACUUUUCUUUCUGUGUUGAUGCUGAUCACUCUGUUGGAAAUCAACACACCAACUAGGAAGAUAUUUAUCAGACAUGUACUGUGUAUAUGCAUUUUAGCUGCUGCCUUGUGCCAACUACUUUCGCAGCUAUUCAACUACUCUGUUUGGGGUCGGAUUUAAUGUCUGUCGGACUGACACCUAAAUUUUUGGUCCAUGAGAAUUUAAAGUAGUGAUGAUUCAAUAUUGUUCAGUCUCAAACUGUACAUGAUAGGACCAAAGAUACAUUUAUGAUAAUUAAUGUUAUGCAGUUAUCUAUCCUGUAAAAGAGAAUUAAUCUCUGAAGCAUGAUAGCUGUAUUCUAGUAGUAAUUAUUAGACUGCGUGUGGAGGAAAAAGAAGAAAAACGCUCGCCUGCUCAAAUCUUGUUUACUUGCCCUUGACAUGAAGAUCUACCCCUUGAACAAAUGCAGAGAGAUAGCAUCUCUGAGCAGGGUUCAAUCUUACGUUUGUUUUACUACGUGCUAAUACAUUGCUCGAAAUUGUGACUGAGAUUUUACUCCUUCUGUUCUUGUUAUUCAUCAAAAACAGGUAAACCGAAGGUGAACGGAUUCAUUUGCAAGGAAAAUAUAACGGCUAAUGACUUCUUCACCACCAUCCUUGGCACCCCAGGAGCAACCAACAAUACCUUCGGGUCAGUGGUCACGGGAGCCAAUGUUGAGAAGGUCCCUGGUCUCAACACCCUAGGUGUGUCCCUGUCCAGGAUCGACUACGCCCCUGGUGGCCUGAAUCCACCCCACACCCACCCCCGUGCCACAGAAAUGGUGUUUGUAUUGGAAGGUGAACUAGAUGUUGGGUUCAUAACCACUGCCAAUGUCCUCAUUUCCAAGUCCAUCAAGAAAGGUGAAGUAUUCGUCUUCCCCAGAGGCCUAGUCCACUUCCAGAAGAAUAAUGGGAACCUGGCAGCAGCCGUUAUCUCGGCCUUCAACAGCCAAUUGCCUGGAACUCAAGGCAUUUCCGUAACAUUAUUUGCAUCUAAUCCACCAGUUCCGGAAAAUGUGUUGACCAUGGCAUUCCAAAUUGGUAGCAAAGAAGUUGAUAAAAUCAAAUCAAGGCUCGCCCCCAAGAAGUAGAUGAUACACUGAUUUAAAAGCAAGACGUCGUAUUCAUGUUGUUCUUCAAAAUAAAACAUAAAAAAAAAAAAGAAGUGGAUUCGAAGUUAGUUUGUCAUUUCAAAUUUAGUUUGUCAAAGUUAAUGUUGUAAGUAAAAUGCAUGUGAAUUUUGUCUUUGCUUGACAACACAAUAAAAUGUGAUUGUUCCAUCCAAGUAAGGUUCUUGAUGGGCAGAUUGCCUUGCUGCCAUGUCCAUUUGAUAUUCAACUCUUAGUUGAUUGCCUACAUUUGUGCAUGUCCAACAAUAUAUGUAUUUACAGAGAUAAAGUCCUUGUUUUUGGCGUUCAUACACGAAGAAGCCAAUUUACUUGAGAAACGCUAGAAGAGAAAAAUCUUCUUCUAACCUGCUGGUGAAGUGACUAUAUGUUCGACAAUUAUGGCUAUCCAACUCAAUUUCUCGAAUUAAAAUUAACAACAGUCCUGCAAUAUAAUGACAUACUUGUAAGAAUAACAAGGCUGCAAAGACAAACUAGUAACUUUUGCCCAGAACAAUUUUUUCCCAGUUUUAUUAAACAAAGAUCAAAAUUGCUCCCAAGAUGGUUAGUUAGCAGCUUUGGAGCCACUCCUCUUUCCUUCAUAAAACCAGAUCAACCGAAUGACUUAGCUUCCAAAUAUGGUAGCUAAUGAUAACUAGAGUUGAUUAUUGCUUGAUGCAUUCAAUGUAAGUUAAGUGAUUGGAGUUGAUGCAUUCAUGAACUGCAAAGUAAGUAAGUGAAUGAUAGAUAUAAGGCUGCUACCAAGUAAAUGAUUGGAGGGUAGGUGAAUCAUAAAGGUCUGGGCUACCUAACAGUUUAAAAGUUGAGCUCAAGUUUGCGGUCCUCCCUCACUAGGGUAGAGUGGGAAACAAUUCUUGAUUUUGCUUAAUUAGUACACAAAAGUGAUACUAAUACCACUAAUAGCCACAUUAUGGCACAAUCUAUCUCCUGGCUUAGAUGUGGACGCCAAUCCCCAGUUCCCCACACCCUCAUCUGCUGCAUUCAUGGGAGGAGCAAGUGAACCACUUGUGGUACUCCUAUUUUUCCUGGCUUGUUUGGUGGGGGUCUUUGAAGAGCUAAAUUUUGAUUGCGAUGCACUUUAAAAGGAGAGAGUUACUAAGGUUGAAAUUCUAAAACUUACAAAUUCUAUAUCCAAAUUCCAGUUUCCUCCUCUCCACUUUUUAAAUCUUACUAUUCCUUUGCUCUAGAGUAAAAAAAAGUGAAGAAAAAAAAAAAUAGAGGAGGAGGUGCUAAUGAACCACUGAUUAAUCAGUAAGCCUUAUCAGUUGGAUCAUUAUUUGCUUGUUAACAACUCUAGUAAAUCCAUACACUGAUUUAUUAGCAACAAUCCUAAUCAUCUGCUCGAACGUGUCAAUACAAUAAGCAAACCUGCAAUAAUUUUGCCCAUCUCUAUCAUCAAGCAGACAUUGAGGUCCCCGGGAUUAGUUUGCUCCACUUAGUUUAAUGGGUAAUAUUAGUUGUCAUCUGCUCUCACGCCUUCUUUUGCAACCGAUUUUAUAUGGAUUUGACAAUAAUAUAUCUAAGGGAUACACGUAGAUAUAUGAUCUCGAUUUAGCCUUGUUUGUGUUGUGAUUUUUUGCUUUUCAUGAAUACAUUUCUCGAUCGCCUCCUAAAAAUAGCAAUCCCAAUGGAUAGGAAUGAAACAUGGCACCACUAAUUUUUUAAGCAGUCCAAACGGGUAAAAGCAUGGCACUACAAAUUUUUUAAGCAAAGCUGUCAUUGCCAUGAUUUUCUAUUCUGCAUCUUUUUCCAGUCUACAUAAAAAAAUACUUGAAAAGGCAGAACAAGCCAAAAAGUGCCAACUACUAGUUCUAAGUUCCCAGCUCAGAUCCGUAUUCAACUAAUUCUACGGCUUCUAAAAUAUCCGGCCACGUUAAUUAUUGGCUCGCUCACUUGUCAUAUGAAUGGCACUGCUCUGCUCUGACCAAGACCAGUUCAACGGCUAUAUCUCGCCCAGCAAAUAGAAUAACGAAAGCUUGCACUAGUUUGGGAGACAUGGAAAAUAAAAGUGAGGAGAAAAGAGCUAAAGAUUGAGGAAGACUAAGGGAGGUUAAAAGUCGUCAAAAACGUUCAUAUGAUUCAGGUGAUCCUGAGCGCGUUGCAUGACACUACAAAAAUGAUAAUACAAGCAUCUUUAAGAAUCCAACAUACAAAAAAUAGAAAGGAAAAAGAAAAAAGAAAAUUGACUAGUAACUCGUGUAGUUUCACAGUCACAAAUUGGCUUACAACCAACAAUCCCACCAG